This 426-nucleotide long non-coding RNA is filed under the name Androctonus crassicauda. Lineage: Eukaryota; Metazoa; Arthropoda; Arachnida; Scorpiones; Buthidae. The record is from RNAcentral.
GAGGAUAUCAUGAAGAGUAAGACUAAUACAGCAUUUGAGACAAGAGUGUUUGAACAUGAUCUGCAGAUAGAUUGGCCAGGGAUAAAAGUUAUAAAAAACAAUAGAAGAGGAGACAUGGGACUCAUUGCAGAAUCCCUUAAUAUAGCAGAGCAGGCCAUAACCAUGUAUAUUAUCAACUAUAAUGAUUCUGUUAUUAUCUCCAAUGUUUGGCUUUGGACUUUGAGCUCUUAUUAGCUCAUGGUGACAAAGGAUUGACAAUCAUGUUUGGGAGAAGGAUAGCUGUUGCAGGCUUCUCUGCAUGCAGUUAUCCAUCACCUAGAGAUCCCUUGCACACAUUCUGAUAUGUGUUUAACUAACAAUUAUUAAAAACACUAGCACAUUAAGCAAAAUAACCAAAAACUUUAUUGCGGUAUAGCAGUUUCGGAC